AUUCUGCCCAUACAGGGAAGGAUGAGAAGCUUCGACUAAGGUUCGAUUCGAGCGCCAGCGAGAAAGCGUUGCCGCAGGCAACGACCCGAAGCGUGUAGCGCUAAGUCAUCCUCCCUCAUUUCCCC
RNAcentral lists this small RNA (125 nucleotides) under Enterobacter sp. JUb54. RNAcentral's name for it is "RtT sRNA". It matches the Rfam family "RtT RNA". Rfam says of the family: This family represents a bacterial cis-regulatory element known as RtT RNA. The exact function of RtT is unknown although it is thought that it may be involved in changing the cellular response in relation to amino acid starvation. Lineage: Bacteria; Pseudomonadati; Pseudomonadota; Gammaproteobacteria; Enterobacterales; Enterobacteriaceae. The record is from RNAcentral.